RNAcentral lists this ribosomal RNA (440 nucleotides) under uncultured bacterium. RNAcentral's name for it is "partial 16S ribosomal RNA". It matches the Rfam family "Bacterial small subunit ribosomal RNA", at positions 338 to 795 of the family's 1533-position model. The record is from RNAcentral.
CCUACGGGUGGCAGCAGUAGGGAAUAUUGGGCAAUGGGCGAAACCCUGAAGCAGCAACGCCGCGUGGAGGAUGAAGGCUUUCGGAUUGUAAACUCCUUUUGUUAGAGAAGAUACUGACGGUAUCUAACGAAUAAUCACCGGCUAACUCCGUCCCAGCAGCCGCGGUAAUACGGAGGGUGCAAGCGUUACUCGGAAUGACUGGGCGGAAAGAGCGCGUAGGCGGGAUAGCAAGUCAGAUGUGAAAUCCUCUGGCUUAACCAUAGAACUGCAUUUGAAACUGUUAUUCUAGAGUAUGGGAGAGGCAGGUGGAAUUCUUGGUGUAGGGGUAAAAUCCGUAGAGAUCAAGAGGAAUACUCAUUGCGAAGGCGACCUGCUAGAACAUAACUGACGCUGAUGCGCGAAAGCGUGGGGAGCAAACAGGAUUAGAUACCCCAGUAGUC